Molecule: long non-coding RNA, 1457 nt
Organism: Callithrix jacchus (white-tufted-ear marmoset)
Lineage: Eukaryota; Metazoa; Chordata; Mammalia; Primates; Cebidae
Source: RefSeq, a predicted model, not a curated record
UAGGCAAUAUUGGCUCUAGAGGAUCAAUACCCCCAAGUCUAUUUAGCACGUGCACAUGUGAGACCAGUGCCCAUUCGGUUAAGGACCCGUGGGUUCCUCUAGGAGUUGAUUCCCACGGAAAGUCACUGUCACGGUGCUGCUGUCUCCAUUUGCACGUCCCUGUACCAUGGCAUAGCCACCUUCUGUGGCCUGAAAAACGCCGAUGGCACAGCCACGGGGCCUGGAUGGUCCCAUGCAGCCUACUGAGGCCGCAUACUGAAGGCACGUCGAGGCACCUGUCUCCCUAAGUCAGCCUGUCAACCCCGGGUUGUUUUGUCUGCUGCGAGCUUGGUCAGAGCCCCCAGGGUCUGAAAGGCAAACCACUAGCAAAAGUGCCAGGACAGCUCCGGUUCCAGCCUCAUUCUGCCUGGACCCAAGUUCUGCUUCAUUACCCCUGAAACGUUUCCUUCACGGAAAGCUGGUGGCAGACAUGCUGGGGAGCUUUCUGAGCCCCUGGCUGUGUGGCUCUGUGACAGCAGCCUCCUCUUCUACAACAUCGGCUGGUACAAAAGCACACAGGGCUGGAAAUCAGCUGCCUUGCCCUCUACACUCCACACCAACUCUAAGACUUUGGCACGUCAAGCCUUGUUUCCAUUGAGGAUUUUAAUCUUGGCUGCACUUUUGAAGGUGGGGAGCUUUAAAACUAGAUACAUACGUCUGGGAUGCCAGCAGAUUUUCUGGUUUCCUACCACCAAGAUGGAAUGCCUACCUGAGAACAAGGGCGAAACGCAGGAAGGCCAUGCGGGCGGAUGGAGCUCCAGAAACACUGGUUGAAUGUCUGGACCCAGAUGCACCCGCGGCCAUCUCCCCGUGAACUUCUCAAGACCUGGGUACAUUCCUUCCUGCACUUAAGAAAGCAGAGUGAGGCUUCUGCCGCCUGUGUCUGAGGGACUCCUGACAAAGACAGCAGCCGGUCUGGAAAAACCCGUCUCAUGCUCUCACUUUUUGACACACUUUGCCAUUUUUGGAGAACAAGAUAGAUCAUGCUGAACAACUGAGAAAGGUGUGCUGUGCUCCUUCGGGUCCAUUACGGUCUGACCUUCUCUGCCAAGUAUCAUCCUGGACCUGGGAGCUCGUCAGAAAUGCAGAAUCUCAGGUCCCACCCCAUACCUGCUGCAUCCUAAUUUCCAUUUAACAGAAUCCCCAGGUGAAGUGCACGCACAUUAACGUCUGAGAAACGCUGCUCCAUAAAAUCCAUAUGGCCAAGUGACUUGCCCAGAGAAUGAUGAAUAUGUACCACAAAACCCUAUUAUCAUCAAUUCCAAGGGGCAAAGAACUCAUCCGUCUUUAAGUGGGGAAAAUAGCACAGGAUGUCAGUCCUGAAACUGGGUCGCCUUUGUGGGGAUUUGGGGAUUUGAAUUCUGCAAGGAGGGAUCAGGAAAGGCAGAUGUGCUGGAGCUUACCCUGUUCCAUCCACA